Molecule: unclassified non-coding RNA, 227 nt
Filed under: uncultured Laccaria
Lineage: Eukaryota; Fungi; Basidiomycota; Agaricomycetes; Agaricales; Tricholomataceae
Description: sequence contains ITS1
Source: RNAcentral
UUGAAUAAAUCUGAUGUGGCUGUUAGCUGGCUUUUCGAAGCAUGUGCUCGCCUGUCAUCUUUAUCUCUCCACCUGUGCACCUUUUGUAGUCUUGGAUACCUCUCGAGGCAACUCGGAUUUUGGGAUUGCGUCAGCUUUCCUUGCAUUUCCAAGACUAUGUUUUUAUAUACACCAAAGCAUGUUUAAAGAAUGUCAUCAAUAGGAACUUGUUUCCUAUAAAAACUAUA